RNAcentral lists this ribosomal RNA (228 nucleotides) under uncultured bacterium. Its description in RNAcentral is "partial 16S ribosomal RNA". It matches the Rfam family "Bacterial small subunit ribosomal RNA", at positions 568 to 796 of the family's 1533-position model. The record is from RNAcentral.
UCCGUAGGCGGACUAAUAAGUCAGGGGUGAAAUCCCACAGCUCAACUGUGGAACUGCCUUUGAUACUGUUAGUCUUGAGUUAUAUGGAAGUAGAUAGAAUGUGUAGUGUAGCGGUGAAAUGCUUAGAGAUUACACAGAAUACCGAUUGCGAAGGCAGUCUACUACGUAUAUACUGACGCUAAUGGACGAAAGCGUGGGGAGCAAACAGGAUUAGUACCCUGGUAGUCC